UGCUGGUUGAGAAUUUGGGAUUCUGAUGAUCCACCAGAUAUCUUCCCAUAUGCCUCAUAAUGACCAAUGAUGGGAUACAGAAUCCUAGGACUUUGGAGCUUCUCUUUCAGAAAUGCCCUCUGAGGGUGGAGAGGACACCAAACCCUGGGGAGGGGGUUGGAUCAUGGUCACCAUUGCUGGUCUUGCUGAUGCAUGUGACGAGCUUCAGAAAGGAGGACGGUCCUAGGGGCUGCCUGCCCACGGUCAUGAGACCAGAGAGCUGGAGAACAUCUCAGAUGCUUCUUCCAUUUGGCCAGUCUCCUACCUUCAGAGUCCAGUGUUUCCAAACCUGCUGUGCUCACCCUUUGUGCCCACACAGCCAAGAAAGACCUCAGCCAGCUCUCAGCGGUAACUGUGGGUCUCCAAGGCAAAGAACCUCCCCAGGGACCCCUGGCCCACUGGGGAGAGGAGUCAAAAGCUGGGGAAGGACUAAUCGGGUUUUAUAAC
Molecule: long non-coding RNA, 486 nt
Organism: Suricata suricatta (meerkat)
Lineage: Eukaryota; Metazoa; Chordata; Mammalia; Carnivora; Herpestidae
Exons: 3
Source: RefSeq, a predicted model, not a curated record